This 496-nucleotide ribosomal RNA is filed under the name uncultured bacterium. Its description in RNAcentral is "partial 16S ribosomal RNA". It matches the Rfam family "Bacterial small subunit ribosomal RNA", at positions 29 to 507 of the family's 1533-position model. The record is from RNAcentral.
AUGAACGCUGGCGGCGUGCCUAAUACAUGCAAGUCGAGCGAACAGACGAGGAGCUUACUCCUCUGACGUUAGUGGCGGACGGGUGAGUAACACGUGGAUAACCUACCUAUAAGACUGGGAUAACUUCGGGAAACCGGAGCUAAUACCGGAUAACAUGUUGAACCGCAUGGUUCAACAGUGAAAGACGGUCUUGCUGUCACUUAUAGAUGGAUCCGCGUCGCAUUAGCUAGUUGGUAAGGUAACGGCUUACCAAGGCAACGAUGCGUAGCCGACCUGAGAGGGUGAUCGGCCACACUGGAACUGAGACACGGUCCAGACUCCUACGGGAGGCAGCAGUAGGGAAUCUUCCGCAAUGGGCGAAAGCCUGACGGAGCAACGCCGCGUGAGUGAAGAAGGUCUUCGGAUCGUAAAACUCUGUUAUUAGGGAAGAACAAAUGUGUAAGUAACUAUGCACGUCUUGACGGUACCUAAUCAGAAAGCCACGGCUAACUACGUG